This 63-nucleotide transfer RNA is filed under the name Heterocephalus glaber (naked mole-rat). It matches the Rfam family "tRNA", at positions 5 to 66 of the family's 71-position model. Rfam says of the family: Transfer RNA (tRNA) molecules are approximately 80 nucleotides in length. Lineage: Eukaryota; Metazoa; Chordata; Mammalia; Rodentia; Bathyergidae. The record is from Rfam by way of RNAcentral.
GUGUCGCUCAGCGGUAGAGCACUUGCCUGGCAUGGAAGAGCCUCUGGAUUCAAACCCCAGCAC